This 608-nucleotide ribosomal RNA is filed under the name Micropterus salmoides (largemouth bass). RNAcentral's name for it is "partial small subunit ribosomal RNA". The record is from RNAcentral. Lineage: Eukaryota; Metazoa; Chordata; Actinopteri; Centrarchiformes; Centrarchidae.
AUUAUCAACUUUAGCUAAACUUACACAUGCAAGUAUCCGCACACCCGUGAGAAUGCCCCACAGUCCCCUGCCCGGGGACAAGGAGCUGGUAUCAGGCACAUUCUAUUUGAGCCCAUGACACCUUGCUUAGCCACACCCUCAAGGGAACUCAGCAGUGAUAAACAUUAAGCCAUAAGUGAAAACUUGACUUAGYCAAAGCUAAGAGGGCCGGUAAAACUCGUGCCAGCCACCGCGGUUAUACGAGAGGCCCAAGUUGACAAACCCCGGCGUAAAGAGUGGUUAAGAAAAAUUUAAAACUAAAGCCGAAUGCCCUCAAAGCUGUUAUACGCACCCGAAGGUAAGAAGCCCAAUCACGAAAGUGGCUUUACAUUUCCCGAACCCACGAAAGCUAUGAAACAAACUGGGAUUAGAUACCCCACUAUGCCUAGCCUUAAACAUCGAUGGCAACUUACACCUGCCAUCCGCCUGGGAACUACGAGCAUUAGCUUAAAACCCAAAGGACUUGGCGGUGCUUUAGAUCCACCUAGAGGAGCCUGUUCUAGAACCGAUAACCCCCGUUCAACCUCACCUUUCCUUGUUUCUCCCGCCUAUAUACCACCGUCGUCAGC